This 352-nucleotide long non-coding RNA is filed under the name Eutrema salsugineum. Its description in RNAcentral is "long non-coding RNA (ESAL_LNC001146)". Lineage: Eukaryota; Viridiplantae; Streptophyta; Magnoliopsida; Brassicales; Brassicaceae. The record is from RNAcentral.
CCGGGGAGAACAGAUAAUGAGAUAAAGAACUACUGGAGGACUCAUAUGAGGAAGAAAGCUCAGGAGAAGAAGCGACCUAUGUCUCCAACUUCCUCAUCUUCUAACUGCUGCUCAUCAUCUAUGACCACUGCAACUACUGAUCAAGACACUGGAGGAUCCAAUGGGAACAUGAAUCAAGAAUGUGAAGACGGAUACUACUCCAUGGAUGACAUAUGGAGAGAGAUUGAUCAGUCUGGAGCAAACAUUAUCAAACCUGUAAAAGACAUCUACUACUCAGAGCAAAGCUGUUACUUGAACUUCACUCCUCCUCUGACUUCUCCAACAUGGGAAAGUUCCUUGGAGUCUAUAUGGA